CGCCAUUUCCACGGUGACAAAGAUUCCUAGCCAAUGUUCCCAAGGAAAAAUAAGGGCAAUAUGUUGGGAUUUUUAUCCCAGAGUGCGGUUUUAGUCAUCAAAUAAUCAACCACAACAGUAAGAAAACGAUGCAGAAAAUUAAAGAGCACAGUAAUUGUUCACCCAAUUUGGCCAAAUCUAAUAUGGGGGCUCAAAGGCAAAAAUCCAAGCCCGUCACUAUGCAAAAAAC
This 229-nucleotide long non-coding RNA is filed under the name Olea europaea (common olive). RNAcentral's name for it is "long non-coding RNA (OEUR_LNC013494)". The record is from RNAcentral. Lineage: Eukaryota; Viridiplantae; Streptophyta; Magnoliopsida; Lamiales; Oleaceae.